This 1533-nucleotide long non-coding RNA is filed under the name Homo sapiens (human). RNAcentral's name for it is "HSALNT0073355". The record is from RNAcentral. Lineage: Eukaryota; Metazoa; Chordata; Mammalia; Primates; Hominidae.
UGUAACUGUGCCCAGGAGGGUGGGGCUCCUGCCUGCUCCCUGCUUCCGCUGGCUUCGUGGAGCAGGGCACUACCCUGGGCCCAGCUCUGCCUUGGAACCCCUCUAUGCCCUUCCCUCCAUGUCUAACCACGCUGCUCCCCCAUUGGCGGGUGACUGGGUGCGGCCUCAUUGCGGUAGCAGGGUGAUACCAGGGCAGCAGGCUCUCGGGGGAGUGCCAGGGGUGGACUCUAGGGACUGACUGUCUCCUCUCUGUGUUUCCCCUCAGCGGAGGCGCAGCGGCCCUGGCCAACUUUGUACAAAGGAACCCGACACAGUGGAGGCUCUGGACCUGGAAGUGGGUCCUGCCCGGCCAUGCAAAGACUCAAACUGAAGCAUUGCUCUUCCUGGAUCUCCAGCCUGCCAGCCUUUUGACUAGAGCUAAACCAUCAGCUCUACUGGGUCUCCAGUUUUCCAGGUCACCCUACAUAUCCUGGAAUAUGCCUGCAUACCUGCCUCUAAAAUAAUGUCAUAUAUGUAUGUGUUCAAAGGCAGUCAGACAGGAAGAAUUCCUCUUUACUUCCAGGAGAGUCACCCUUUUGGUUCUAUUCAGGCCUUCAACUGAUUGCGUGAGUCCCAUUCACAUUAGGGAAGGCAAUCUGCUGUACUCAAUCUGCCAAUUUAAAUUUUAAUCUCAUCUGAAAACACCCUCACAGACACACACACACACACACAGACACACACACACACACACAAAGUAAUUUUUCAUCAGACAUCUGGGUUUCCUGUGGCCCCAUCAAUUGGACACAUAAAAUUGGCAUCACAAAGAGCUACUUAUUAUUUAUUUUUUCCACUAUUUCCACUGAACUUUGUAAGUAAAACCAUAGCCUUGCUUUUAAUAAUGUUUUUUCAUUUUACAUCAACUUUAUUUAUUUUACAAUUUAUAGAUUCCUUCAUAAUCGAUGUUCCAUUUAUUUCUUAAGAUCUGUUAAUUUAAUAACAUAUAACAUGUUUACUAUUGUAUAGAUAGAAUUUGAACUAAUUGCAGCAUAAAUUGCAUAAUAUCUUAGAUGAAAUCGCAUUGCUUCUAGUAAAAUAACUUUAAAGAUUGCCAAUCAGAGGUUCUUAAUUGAUUAAGUAUAAUAGUUUCUGGUAAAUAUUUUGUAAGUAAUUUGUGGACCCACAAACAAAAAUCAAUAAUUUAACAGCUAGCUGGAGCUUAAACUAGUUUACCUAAUGUUAAUUUGUAUAGAAAGAGGUAUGCUUUUGACUAGGAAAAACAUGUUAGUAUAACAGCCUUGUAUCUCAAAGCCAACUCCUCCACCAUCACUACCCCCAUCUACACACACACACACAAAAUCUAGGAGGGAGAAAUUUGGGCAAAUAUUUUUUCAUUUUAUAUUGUAAGAUGUGUAUUACGUAACAUAUUUUUAUAUGUUAUCAUUCAUGGGUUUUACAGAAAAAUGCUGUGUCAUUUUGUUUUUCCAGUAAAAGUCAUUAUUCAACAAUACGUUUGUCCUGAAACAUGUAGCAUCUUAUGCUACAAAUAGAGUGAAA